Molecule: ribosomal RNA, 207 nt
Filed under: uncultured bacterium
Lineage: Bacteria
Description: partial 16S ribosomal RNA
Rfam family: Bacterial small subunit ribosomal RNA
Source: RNAcentral
AGCGUAGGCGGGCGUUUAAGUUAGGUGUUUAAUCCCGGGGCCCAACCCCGGACAGGCACCUAAAACUGGAUGUCUUGAAUAGGGGAGAGGUCGGUGGAAUUGGGGGUGUAGCGGUGGAAUGCGUAGAGAUCCCCAAGAACACCCGUUGCGAAGGCGGCCGACUGGACCCAUAUUGACGCUGAGGCUCGAAAGCAUGGGGAGCAAACA